Molecule: ribosomal RNA, 468 nt
Filed under: uncultured bacterium
Lineage: Bacteria
Description: partial 16S ribosomal RNA
Rfam family: Bacterial small subunit ribosomal RNA
Source: RNAcentral
GACGAACGCUGGCGGCGUGCUUAACACAUGCAAGUCGAACGGAAAGACCCUGCUUUUGUGGGGUGCUCGAGUGGCGAACGGGUGUGUAACACGUGAGUAACCUGCACUUGUCUUAGGGAUAACAUCAGGAAACUGGGGCUCUUACAGGAUAGGAGCUACUGCUGCAUGGUGGGCAUUGGAAAGUUUCGGCGGUGGGGGCUGGACGGGCGGCUUAUCCGCUUGUUGGGGGGGUAGUGGUUGACAAAGUCUGUGACGGGUAGCCGGCCUUGGAGGGUGGCCGGCGACAAUGCUACUGAGAGACGGCGCAGACUCGUAUGGGAGGCAGCAGGGGGGAAUAUGGCACAAUGGGCGGGAGCGUGAGGUAGAGACGCCGCGUGCGUGAUGACGGGCUUCGGGGUGUAAACAGAUGUGGCAUGUAACGAAGCGUGAGUGACGGUAAUGGGUAAAGAAGCAACGGCUAACUACGUG